AUUGAACGCUGGCGGCAGGCUUAACACAUGCAAGUCGAGCGGAGUGAUGGUGCUUGCACUAUCACUUAGCGGCGGACGGGUGAGUAAUGCUUAGGAAUCUGCCUAUUAGUGGGGGACAACAUCUCGAAAGGGAUGCUAAUACCGCAUACGUCCUACGGGAGAAAGCAGGGGAUCUUUAUGACCUUGCGCUAAUAGAUGAGCCUAAGUCGGAUUAGCUAGUUGGUGGGGUAAGGCCUAACAAGGCGACGAUCUGUAGCGGGUCUGAGAGGAUGAUCCGCCACACUGGGACUGAGACACGGCCCAGACUCCUACGGGAGGCAGCAGUGGGGAAUAUUGGACAAUGGGGGGAACCCUGAUCCAGCCAUGCCGCGUGUGUGAAGAAGGCCUUAUAGUUGUAAAGCACUUUAAGCGAGGAGGAGGCUCUUUUGGUUAAUACCCAAGAUGAGUGGACGUUACUCGCAGAAUAAGCACCGGCUAACUCUGUGCCAGCCGCCGCGGUAA
This 501-nucleotide ribosomal RNA is filed under the name uncultured bacterium. Its description in RNAcentral is "partial 16S ribosomal RNA". It matches the Rfam family "Bacterial small subunit ribosomal RNA", at positions 30 to 523 of the family's 1533-position model. The record is from RNAcentral.